GCACCCGUAGCUCAGUUGGAUAGAGCAGCGCCCUUCUAAGGCGAAGGUCAGUGGUUCAAAUCCACUCGGGUGCACCA
RNAcentral lists this transfer RNA (77 nucleotides) under Candidatus Peregrinibacteria bacterium CG_4_10_14_0_2_um_filter_41_8. Its description in RNAcentral is "tRNA-Arg". It matches the Rfam family "tRNA". Rfam says of the family: Transfer RNA (tRNA) molecules are approximately 80 nucleotides in length. RNAcentral also lists the same sequence under 2 other names. The record is from RNAcentral. Lineage: Bacteria; Candidatus Peregrinibacteriota.